UUCAAGUAGUUUAUUAAAAACAUUACUCUUUCAAAGUAAAGAUCUUAUUUAAGUUUGUAC
RNAcentral lists this transfer RNA (60 nucleotides) under Colpocephalum eucarenum. RNAcentral describes it as "tRNA-Glu". The record is from RNAcentral. Lineage: Eukaryota; Metazoa; Arthropoda; Insecta; Psocodea; Menoponidae.